Molecule: ribosomal RNA, 301 nt
Filed under: uncultured bacterium
Lineage: Bacteria
Description: partial 16S ribosomal RNA
Rfam family: Bacterial small subunit ribosomal RNA
Source: RNAcentral
CAGUCGCCGCGGUAAAACGGAGGGCGCGAGCGUUACCCGGAUUUACUGGGCGUAAAGGGCGUGUAGGCGGCCUGGGGCGUCCCAUGUGAAAGGCCACGGCUCAACCGUGGAGGAGCGUGGGAUACGCUCAGGCUAGAGGGUGGGAGAGGGUGGUGGAAUUCCCGGAGUAGCGGUGAAAUGCGCAGAUACCGGGAGGAACGCCGAUGGCGAAGGCAGCCACCUGGUCCACUUCUGACGCUGAGGCGCGAAAGCGUGGGGAGCAAACCGGAUUAGAUACCCCUGUAGUCCCUGUCUCUUAUAC